CCCCCCCCUUCAUAAAUAAUCUUUAAUUACCCGUAUGAUUUCACCUUUAUUGACUUCGCCGUUAUUAAGUCUGUUGUUGUCGUCGGACACGUUACAAUUUUCGUUUGUGUCGCGCAUGUGAUAAUUAGCUGACGAUUACCUAUUUAUUCAUUAUCGUGAUUGGCCAAUGGAAAAAAAAAAAAAAAAACGAUAAUUUCGUUCGACAAUAUUUAGGUACAAAAGUUUAUUGAUAAUAAUAAUAAUUAGAUUGUAGUAAAAGCGAACCGUGCGUUGUGUAACCGAAAUGUUCGCGCGCGAGUCGCCUAUGGAAAUAGAUUGUUGUUCUCAUGGUUAUACCUUCUCGUAUUAUAGUAAAUCCACUCCAUUAACGUUCACGGUUUAAAAAAAAAAAUGAUCAC
Molecule: non-coding RNA, 398 nt
Organism: Cinara cedri
Lineage: Eukaryota; Metazoa; Arthropoda; Insecta; Hemiptera; Aphididae
Source: the annotation of a GenBank genome assembly